Molecule: long non-coding RNA, 433 nt
Organism: Eriocheir sinensis (Chinese mitten crab)
Lineage: Eukaryota; Metazoa; Arthropoda; Malacostraca; Decapoda; Varunidae
Exons: 2
Source: RefSeq, a predicted model, not a curated record
AGAAAAACGUGGUAUAUGGAGGUAAUCAACGUUCUGUUUACUGUAUUAUAUCACUGUACUAAUUACCAAGUGGCGCUGGAUGGCUAAUUAUAACGAUUUAGCCAUAAUAUCGUAUACACGGAGAGAAAGAGAAUUUAUUUAGCUGUGUGUGGAGGGAAGGAGGAGGAGGAGGAGAGGGAGAGAAAGGAGGGAGAGAGGAGAGAAGAGAGGGAGGUGGAGGCGGAGGGACAAAAAAUCUUCCACUGUGCAAAAAACAUUUAUUUAUUUAUUUAUUUUCAUAUUUUUUUAACUUUCUCAAAAAAAUCAAAAAAUAAAGAAAAAAAUACAAAUAGGCUUAACAAUUACUCUCUCUCUCUCUCUCUCUCUCUCUCUCUCUCUCUCUCUCUCUCUCUCUCUCUCUCUCUCUCUCUCUCUCUCUCAAUAUAUAUAUAAA